AGCGAACGCUGGCGGCAGGCCUAACACAUGCAAGUCGAACGGACCCUUCGGGGUUAGUGGCGGACGGGUGAGUAACACGUGGGAACGUGCCUUUUGGUUCGGAACAACUCAGGGAAACUUGAGCUAAUACCGGAUGUGCCCUUCGGGGGAAAGAUUUAUCGCCAUUAGAGCGGCCCGCGUCUGAUUAGCUAGUUGGUAGG
RNAcentral lists this ribosomal RNA (200 nucleotides) under uncultured bacterium. RNAcentral's name for it is "partial 16S ribosomal RNA". It matches the Rfam family "Bacterial small subunit ribosomal RNA", at positions 29 to 256 of the family's 1533-position model. The record is from RNAcentral.